GCAAGUCGAACGAGACGACCUUAAGAAGACUGAGUGCUUGCACGAAGUGGAAGAAGAUCAUCGUCUAGUGGCAGACGGGUGGAGUAACACGUGGGUAACCACCUUUAAGUUGGGGAUAACAGUUGGAAACGACAGCUAAUACCGAAUAAGAUAUUCGGUAUAGAAGAAGCCUUUAAGCUUCGCUUAGAGAUGGGCCUGCGGCGUAUUAACUAGUUGGUGAGGGUAAUGGCUCACCAAGGUAACGAUGCGUAGCCGAACUGAGAGGUUGAACGGCCACACUGGGACUGAGACACGGCCCAGACUCCUACGGGAGACAGCAGUUAGGAAUAUUCGGUCAAUGGGGGGAAACCCUGAACGAGCAAUGCCGCGUGAAGUGAUGAAGGCCCUUAGGGUUGUAAAACUCUGUUGUAUGGGAAGAACGGCUAAAUUAGGAAAUGAAGUUUAGAGUGACGGUACCAUACCAGAAAGCUCCGGCUAACUACGUGCCAGCAGCCGC
RNAcentral lists this ribosomal RNA (496 nucleotides) under uncultured bacterium. Its description in RNAcentral is "bacterial SSU rRNA". It matches the Rfam family "Bacterial small subunit ribosomal RNA", at positions 57 to 518 of the family's 1533-position model. The record is from RNAcentral.